Molecule: long non-coding RNA, 731 nt
Filed under: Daphnia pulex (common water flea)
Lineage: Eukaryota; Metazoa; Arthropoda; Branchiopoda; Diplostraca; Daphniidae
Description: uncharacterized LOC124201874, transcript variant X1
Source: RNAcentral
AUCUUAAGUUGGUUGCACAGUCAGUCACAGACAGACAUGACAUUACACGUCGUACUCGUAACUUUCAUAAGUUACUUAAAAAGUUUAACAACGGAGAUCGGAUAACAAGUUAACUGCUUUUAAAUAAUUUCAGCUGAAGUUUUCGUGUACCUUGCCAACUAUAGGUGCUCAUGAGUUGUGACAAUAGAAAUGAAAUGGUCUAAUCCAAUAAUGCAAGCUCACAAGUCACAACCUAAUAUGUCUUCUGAAGAAAAAUCAAGUCUGUUGCAGUUGUAAAUCUUCAAGAUAUUGAUGCCUUCGCCAGAUCCAAUUCUUUGUUGCUGACGAGAAAGAGAAUUCAUAAUUUUGUGUGCAACAGACCGAAUGAGAACCAUUUUGUUGCCCAUCCAAGGAUCAGGAAAAGGCCAACACCACCAACACGGUCAACAAGGUUCUUUGUUUGUUUACCUCCUUGGCUGGUGAAAGAUUGUUGUGCAUCAAGUUAACCUGUGGCUGUUCCUUGUUGCUGGUGUCUUAUUAUGGAAGUUGCAGGCAGUAUUUUGUUCAAUUUGCAUUAUGUCUGUAGAUUUACAGCUAGUUUAAGUCUUCUUCAAGCUUCACCUUCUUCUUCGUUCCAGUCAAAUUCACACAUGGAUUUUUCAGCCAGUCUGUUGAAUUUGACAUGUACAAUUUUCUUUUUGGUAAAAUUAUGAUUAGGCUUAACUCUUGUAAAUACCAUAAAGUGACAUUUA